RNAcentral lists this unclassified non-coding RNA (278 nucleotides) under uncultured fungus. Its description in RNAcentral is "sequence contains ITS2". The record is from RNAcentral. Lineage: Eukaryota; Fungi.
AACGCGAAUGGCACUGUUACGUAAGUAGCAGUAUGUCUGUUUGAGAAUCGCAAAAAACGAUCAACUCUAGUUAAGAGUUGGGCUUGACCUUGCGUGCUGUGGUGCGCUUGGUUUAAAUUGAUCGAGUUGAUGAGCUUCCCAGCGCGGCUUAUUGUGUGCUAGCGAGACAGUCGUCCCGAUGUCACAAUCCUGUCGCGUUGCAGAGUUCUAACCACAACUCGCAAAAUACUUUAAUCAUAUACGAUCUCAAAUCAGGCAAGAUUACCCGCUGAACUUAA